This 492-nucleotide ribosomal RNA is filed under the name uncultured bacterium. Its description in RNAcentral is "partial 16S ribosomal RNA". It matches the Rfam family "Bacterial small subunit ribosomal RNA", at positions 29 to 507 of the family's 1533-position model. The record is from RNAcentral.
AGUGAACGCUGGCGGUAGGCCUAACACAUGCAAGUCGAACGGCAGCACAGUAAGAGCUUGCUCUUACGGGUGGCGAGUGGCGGACGGGUGAGGAAUACAUCGGCAUCUACUUUUUCGUGGGGGAUAACGUAGGGAAACUUACGCUAAUACCUCAUACUACCUACGGGUGAAAUCAGGGGAUCUUCGGACCUUUCGCGAUUGAAUGAGCCGAUGUCGGAUUAGCUAGUUGGCGGGGUAAAGGCCCACCAAGGCGACGAUCCGUAGCUGGUCUGAGAGGAUGAUCAGCCACACUGGAACUGAGACACGGUCCAGACUCCUACGGGAGGCAGCAGUGGGGAAUAUUGGACAAUGGGCGCAAGCCUGAUCCAGCAAUACCGCGUGGGUGAAGAAGGCCUUCGGGUUGUAAAGCCCUUUUGUUGGGAAAGAAAAGCAGCAGGUUAAUACCCCGCUGUUCUGACGGUACCCAAAGAAUAAGCACCGGCUAACUUCGUG